GGCGACAAAAGUGGCUGGACCAAUCAGUAGCUCAAUCUCUAGUGUACCCAUGACCUCCCUCCGAGUGCUAUCAUACGCGCGAACGGUCUGAGUGGAUGGGCCGAAAUCGGAUGGUGCGUAUCCAAGGGCGAUGGCGGUGGUCAGAGGACAUACGUUCAGGGCCGAGCCAUUGUCCAGAAGGACAGAUGGAACUCGGCGACCUGAACAGCCAACAGAUAUAUAGAGAGGAC
This 230-nucleotide long non-coding RNA is filed under the name Vitis vinifera (wine grape). RNAcentral describes it as "long non-coding RNA (VVIN_LNC007877)". Lineage: Eukaryota; Viridiplantae; Streptophyta; Magnoliopsida; Vitales; Vitaceae. The record is from RNAcentral.